AAUCAACGCUGGCGGCGUGCCUCAGACAUGCAAGUCGAACGCGAAAGUCCCCUUCGGGGGACAAGUAGAGUGGCGCACGGGUGAGUAACACGUAGGUAAUCUACCUUCGGAUGGGGAAUAACAACCGGAAACGGUUGCUAAUACCGCAUAAUGCAGCGGCACCUAAUGGUGACAGUUGUUAAAGCGGGGGAUCGAAAGACCUCGCGUCUGAAGAGGAGCCUGCGGCGGAUUAGCUAGNGGUAAGGUAACGGCUUACCAAGGCGACGAUCCGUAGCCGGCCUGAGAGGACGAUCAGCCACACUGGGACUGAGACACGGCCCAGACUCCUACGGGAGGCAGCAGUGGGGAAUCUUGCGCAAUGGGGGCAACCCUGACGCAGCCAUGCCGCGUGAACGAUGAAGGCCUUAGGGUUGUAAAGUUCUUUUGCCCGUGACGAUGAUGACGGUAACGGGAGAAUAAGCUCCGGCUAACUUCGUGCCAGCCGCCGCAGUAAU
RNAcentral lists this ribosomal RNA (494 nucleotides) under uncultured bacterium. RNAcentral describes it as "bacterial SSU rRNA". It matches the Rfam family "Bacterial small subunit ribosomal RNA", at positions 32 to 524 of the family's 1533-position model. The record is from RNAcentral.